This is an RNA transcript of Brassica oleracea var. oleracea, 1644 nucleotides long. RefSeq lists it as uncharacterized. The record is from RefSeq and is a predicted model, not a curated record. The transcript is spliced from 4 exons. Lineage: Eukaryota; Viridiplantae; Streptophyta; Magnoliopsida; Brassicales; Brassicaceae.
AUAAAAUUAUGUGUUUUUUUCUUCAGAAAAUUAGGCUUCAUGUUAUCGUUUUUUUCACAUUCAACGUUGACGUCUCCGCUUAUCUUCAUCUGCAAACCUAAUGAUUUCUCAUCUCAUCUCUUUGCCUCCCCUUUCGUUUAGUGUAUUUCUUUUAAUUCAGCAAUAAUUGUUAUUCACAUUAAAUCAAGUAAGGAUGUCGACCUCUCUGUUUCCUUCUUGUCAAAUCUAUAAAUAGGAGAGGGAUGAGAGUAGGAUCGAUGUUCCAUCAUGAUUUGUGUAGGCGAAGAUUGGUGUUAAUGGACGCCCUUCGAACGCACCGUCGGUGAUACGAUUGUGUUAUUUUCAGCUCUGUUUCCGCAUUUUGAUCGGUUGUGUAGUGAUUUUUUUUUGGGAGUGGUGUGUUGUUUGGUGUAGGGGAUUUGAAGAGAACAGUGAUGGGAUUCAAAUCAACACCGUUCUUUCAUAGUCGUAAGAUUCAAGAUCUUAAGAAGUGUCCAUUCUCCUAGAUGUGAUGGUAUUUCUCGGAUACUCGGGAGCAGUUUCGGAUCAAUGGUCAUUGAUGCCUCGAAUUCUGACCAGACCAAGCUUCAGGUCGGAGAUAAAUAACUUAGUUUAACAACUCAGAGAAGAAAGAAAGACUUUUAUUGUUUUCCUCACUGUGGAGAUUUUGGUUUCUUGAUGUAGCUAAGAGAGAAAACUUGGUUUGCUAAUCCUCUAAACUCAAGGCUGAUGUACAUCUGUCAUGCGCCUAGUACUCCUUGAUUACUCUCUGCUGCUUUAGAGGCAGAAAAAGUUUUUUUUUUUUUUUUAAUUCUUUCAUCUGUACGCAGAAACUAGCAGAUUGUUUCAUUAGUGGUCUCUUUUGAUGACAUGUUGAACUUUUUUUUUUGAAUUAUACAGGGGUAUCCUGACCCCACAAAAGUGAUCCAGACUAGUCACAUGUUAUCACGUGUCGGUCCCCUAUCUCUGGCGAUGCUAAAAUGUUUAUUCCCCAGUGGCCGGGACUCGAACUCUGGUGACUUCACCGUACUGGGCUUUUGCCCUCAAAUUAAUCACCAUGAGGCCACAAGUCAUGGUUAUUUGAAUCUGAAAAGUAAUCAGAGGCUUUUGUUUUCAUCCAUGAUUAGUGGAACAGAGAGAAGUGCUGGACUUCUGAAAGGUUAAACCAUGAUUAUGUUUUAAAAUGCUUGAGAUGAUAACUAAAGUAUUUCUUAUUUGUGUGGUAGAUUACAUAGACAAUAAAUAUUUCUGCUUUUAACGUUGCUUUUGGCCAUAUUCUUUUUCAUUCUGAUGAUCUUCAUACCUACAUGUCCAACUCCAACGACCAGGUGGGUUGUCUGAACCGAGAAGCAGCAAAUUCAAGGCCUUGACUUUAGUUAUGGAUUGCCUCCGGUUCAGAUAGAGACGCAGGAUGAUAAUGAGUUCUUCGAUCUGAGUUUCUUGGAUCUGCAAAACUGAGACAAUGGGAUGCAGUGGAUGCAUGUGGAUUUUUUUAUUUGCCUUAAUCCCAUUGUGACUCUUUAUACUUUUUAAUGAUGUAGAGAAUCUCACAAGACUGUCAAAAGGGAACUGUAUAUAGAGAGAUGAUGUUUUAUAUAUAACAAUUUAACAGAUCCAUAAAACUUAGUACACUGUUUGUCUUUC